This 812-nucleotide ribosomal RNA is filed under the name uncultured bacterium. RNAcentral's name for it is "bacterial SSU rRNA". It matches the Rfam family "Bacterial small subunit ribosomal RNA", at positions 705 to 1520 of the family's 1533-position model. The record is from RNAcentral.
AACACCAGUGGCGAAGGCGACGAUCUGGCCUGCAACUGACGCUCAGUCCCGAAAGCGUGGGGAGCAAAUAGGAUUAGAUACCCUAGUAGUCCACGCCGUAAACGAUGAGUACUAAGUGUUGGAUGUCAAAGUUCAGUGCUGCAGUUAACGCAAUAAGUACUCCGCCUGAGUAGUACGUUCGCAAGAAUGAAACUCAAAGGAAUUGACGGGGGCCCGCACAAGCGGUGGAGCAUGUGGUUUAAUUCGAAGCAACGCGAAGAACCUUACCAAGUCUUGACAUACUCAUAAAGGCUCCAGAGAUGGAUUGGUGCCUUCGGGAACUGUGAGACAGGUGGUGCAUGGUUGUCGUCAGCUCGUGUCGUGAGAUGUUGGGUUAAGUCCCGCAACGAGCGCAACCCUUAUCGUUAGUUACCAUCAUUAAGUUGGGGACUCUAGCGAGACUGCCAGUGACAAGCUGGAGGAAGGCGGGGAUGACGUCAAAUCAUCAUGCCCCUUAUGACCUGGGCUACACACGUGCUACAAUGGAUGGUGCAGAGGGAAGCGAAGCCGCGAGGUGAAGCAAAACCCAUAAAACCAUUCUCAGUUCGGAUUGUAGUCUGCAACUCGACUACAUGAAGUUGGAAUCGCUAGUAAUCGCGAAUCAGCAUGUCGCGGUGAAUACGUUCUCGGGCCUUGUACACACCGCCCGUCACACCACGAGAGUUGAUAACACCCGAAGCCGGUGGCCUAACCGCAAGGAAGGAGCUGUCUAAGGUGGGAUUGAUGAUUGGGGUGAAGUCGUAACAAGGUAUCCCUACGGGAACGUGGGGAUG